This 376-nucleotide unclassified non-coding RNA is filed under the name soil metagenome. RNAcentral's name for it is "partial contains 5.8S ribosomal RNA, internal transcribed spacer 2, and large subunit ribosomal RNA". The stretch from base 1 to 120 matches the Rfam family "5.8S ribosomal RNA", at positions 35 to 154 of the family's 154-position model. The record is from RNAcentral.
GAUGAAGAACGUAGCGAAAUGCGAUAAGUAAUGUGAAUUGCAGAAUUCAGUGAAUCAUCGAAUCUUUGAACGCAUCUUGCGCUCCUUGGUAUUCUGAGGAGCAUGCCUGUUUGAGUGUCAUUAAAUUCUCAACUACACUGACUUUGAAUUGGUGUGGCUUGGAUUUGGGGGGAAAAUUUUUGUGGGCUUUUUGUAUAGUCUGCUCCCCUGAAAUUGAUUAGCGGUACCUUUGUGGAACUGUCUACAGGUGUGAUAAUUAUCUACAUCUUAGACAUCUGCUGGAAUGCUGCUUUCUAAACCUUACUUGUAUUGACAAUCUUGACCUCAAAUCAGGUAGGACUACCCGCUGAACUUAAGCAUAUCAAUAAGCGGAGGA